GACAGAGGAUGCAAGCGUUAUCCGGAAUGAUUGGGCGUAAAGCGUCUGUAGGUGGCUUUUUUAAGUCCGCCGUCAAAUCCCCAGGGCUCAACCCUGGACAGGCGGUGGAAACUACCAAGCUGGAGUACGGUAGGGGCAGGAGGGAAUUUUCCGGUGGAGCGGUGAAAUGCGUAGAGAUCGGAAAGAACACCAACGGCGAAAGCACUCUGCUGGCCGACACUGACACUGAGAGACGAAGCUAGGAGCGAAUGG
This 252-nucleotide ribosomal RNA is filed under the name uncultured bacterium. Its description in RNAcentral is "partial 16S ribosomal RNA". It matches the Rfam family "Bacterial small subunit ribosomal RNA", at positions 524 to 775 of the family's 1533-position model. The record is from RNAcentral.